RNAcentral lists this unclassified non-coding RNA (209 nucleotides) under Hevea brasiliensis (rubber tree). Lineage: Eukaryota; Viridiplantae; Streptophyta; Magnoliopsida; Malpighiales; Euphorbiaceae. The record is from RNAcentral.
GCAGGGUACACAAUUUGGUACUGCGUCUCACGUUACCCGUGACUCUGAUUUCGUACAAGACGGACAGUCUUAUCCGGCAUGUUUUAGAUAUAAAAGAACAGAUAACCACAGAUAAUUUGACACAUCCAUCGCUAGAACACAUAAAAUAUUUUUAAAAAAUCCCUUGCAAAACUUGCGAACUUUCAGCUAAAGUAGGCCAAGACUCCAAA